This 4365-nucleotide long non-coding RNA is filed under the name Nicotiana tabacum (common tobacco). RNAcentral describes it as "long non-coding RNA (NTAB_LNC019624)". Lineage: Eukaryota; Viridiplantae; Streptophyta; Magnoliopsida; Solanales; Solanaceae. The record is from RNAcentral.
GGAAACUAUUAUUAUUCAUGUAACCUUAAGUUUUUCCUCAUUCUAUUCACAUAGUAUUUCCCCUCUGUAUCUUCCCUCCCUCAAGACGCCUCCCUUCACAUCGUAUGUUCCCCUCUGUAUUUUCACUCCAUAUCCAGGUAAUCUGAUCCCCCUCCCCCCUUCUCUCUCUAUCUCUCUCUCUCACACACUCACCCUCUCCUUUUUAGUUGUUGAUUUUUCCCCAAAGUACUUUGAAAAUUAGGGAUUUUAUACUAUUUCAAAUCCUAGGUUUAAAAAAAUUAAUAUGAAGCGAAUCAAGUUUUCCUCUUUCUUUUCUUUCUCGAUUUAUGAUGUCUAUGUAUCUGUAGAUGCAUUUUCAGUACUGUAAAAUUUGGUAAUCUAUGACCAUGAAAGACAUAAAUUUUUUUAUAAAUUUUGUUGCCGUUGAAUAAUCUUGAGCUUGCUGUCAAUCUUGCCAAAAACGGAAACCUUCCUGGUGCUGAGAAUUUGGUAAGUUAAAAUCCUGUUUCUCAAGGCACUAUAUUUUGAAUUGAUUUCUUGAUUGGAUGGAGAUUAUAAUGUCAAAUGGUGGGAUAUUUUUAAUUUGAUAUGUUCAUUGUAUAAGGAUUAUUUCCAGCUAUAUAGUGGAAAGAGAGAAGUGGACUGCAAAAAGUGCAACGAAUAUGUUAAUACCAGAAUACUGGUCAGGGAAAAAAAAAUCUUCUACCACUUAACAGAACCAUAAGCUAAUAUCAUAGACACAUAAAGUGGCAUAACAACAGUCAUAACAUGAUGAAAAUUAUAUAAAGUUAUCAUCUUUGGCUAGUUUCUUGAAAUACCCAGAUCAAGAAAACAUACAAAGAAUACAGAAUAGUUGGGAAAUAGAAGAAAGUUGAUGAGUAGGAAGAGGGAAGAAGUAGGGUGUGAUGUGUUGGUUAAUAUAGGCAAAGUUAUGGAGGAGCAUGCGUUUUGGUUUAUGGGGUUGUGGGGAGUUUGCAGAAAGGAGCAAUAGUUUUUGGCAUUAUCAAUAGAGAUACAGAAAAUAGAGCUUUGAGAGUUGGGAGGAGGAAAAAACUUAACUGCACCGGAUAUUUACACCAUAUUAAGUUAACGUGUGCUGAAAAAAUUCUCCUAAACUUUAGUUCAGUUAGUAACCCCACUUAUGCUAUUAUUGUCUUCACAAAAAAAGUCGUUAAAACAUAAUUUGAAAAUUUCUUUUCAAGAUUAAGUUUGAUAAACUUUUCAUGAUCAGUAAUAGUGUAGUUAAGCAAAGUCAAGUGCAAUUGAUGAAGUUCUUUCGUAUGAGUUUAUUCUUUUUUAAUAUACAUGUUUGUUGUUUCACAAACUAAGCCAUUUACCUUUUGUGUGGUAAUAGCAUAUCGAAAUAAAAGGCGACACAUAUUCAUCAUUAGUAGACAACAGACAGUAUGAAAUUUUAAGAUGUUGAGUAUAUUUAUAUUAAUAUUUAUUCAAGGUUAUGUGCAAAAUAUAUGGUACUUAACUACGGUUAAGUACUAAUAAUUAUAGUUAAAUAAAGUAACAUGUGUUAUUUGUUUAUUGGUCGGGUAUAAACACUCAGUAGAGGUAAGUUUUUUCCGUUAGGAGGAGAGUAAGCUUGCACUUCUUGCAGUCUCCAAAGCAAAUGGUAUUUUUCUAAUUAUAUUUGCCUACCCUUUGUUCUUUUCCUCUUUGUUUCGAGUUUUGUUAGGAUUUGAUAGAAAUAGAGAGAGAAAAUGGGGGUUUGAUAAAUUGGUAUAAUUUGAUCUGGUUAGUUGGUAUAUGGCUCUAUCUUCAAUGGUUACAGAGAAAAAGCAUUUUGGUUAAGAGGUGGUGUCCCUUUAAAAAGUAUUUUCUCAUUCUGUAAAUUAAAAUAGUAUAGUAUUUUCUUUUGCCUUUUUGCACUUUUGUCCAGACAACCUUCUCAUGUAUGUGAAAAUGAUACAAAGCAGUAUUUCCCCCUCACUGUUCUUUAUUAAGCAGUAUUAAGCGUCGGUUUGGUUUGUCCAUUCCUAGUUUGAUGUAUUAAAGUGAUUAAUCUCAAGGAAGUGAUUCUAUGAUAAAUUAAAAAUGUUAGUAAAAGUUUUCAUAGCUCUUGAAGAAUAAUUUUUCAGAGGUCGUUUGGUUAAUGAUGUCGGAGUAAUUAAUCUCAGCAUAAAAUCCUAAUAUAAAAAUGAUAUUAAGAGUAAAAAUGAAAGUUUAUUCUUGUUACAUGCAUUGUCUCCUAAGAGUAUAAAUGUUAAACUAUUAUGAUAAAGUUCUCCUUUUCUUUAUAUAAAUAUGUAGAGCUCUUCCAGAAAUGGAGAUAGAAAGUUGACAAUUUUAAAAUACACAGUUUAAUUUGUUUGAUUGUCAACUUGUGUAGUUAUCUUUUAACAAGGACCAUUAAUCAACUAAAAUAUAAGAAAACAAAGUAUAUGAUUAGUACCCCAAAACACCACCCAAAACCGCCCCAAAGCACCCAUGAAACUCAACUCCAAGACACUCAUGAAACCAGCCCCUUUUCUCAUGAAACUCAACUCCAAGACACUCAUGAAACCAGCCCCCCCUCCCCCCCCCCCUUUUUUUUAAAGUAAUCAAAAUUUAGCCACUUUUUAUGUAAAGAUAAAUUUGAACGAAAACAAUGUUGUAAAGGAUUUGUUUGUUUUUCAAGGAUGGUCUAAAUUUCUCUUUGUACCCCCUCCCAAAAUCUAUGAACCUUUAGUGAGAAUGUUUUAUGCAAAUCUUCGCUCUAGCAAGCCUGAUAAGUUGGAAUCCCUAGUUUUCGGGUAAACGCAAUGUUCUUGAUUGUGCCAUGUUUGACUCAAUCUUUCAGUGUAAGUGCUCCGAUUUUCCUAUGCUUUUCAAAAAUACUUGGCCUGAUAAUUUUGAAAUUUAUUUUGAUCAAGCAAAACGUUGUAUUGCUCAUUAUCCAUCUGACUUUCUUACUAACCAAUUAGGUCCCAGUGAUGUUAGUUUUGAAACCCAAGUUCUGGACCACAUUGUUGCAACCACUCUUAUUCCUCGUACUGGAUCAUUCUCCACCUUCUCUCAACGAGAUACCUUUCUUGUCUACUGUUUUGUGACCAAACUCAAAUUUAAACUAUCUUCUUGGGUCAUAAAUUUCAUGAUUGAGAGUGUAGAUGAUCCCACCAAUUUUCAUGAUUGAGAAUACCCUUUUGUCUCAGUUACAAAAUUCUACAACUCUAGAUCUUUUUCCAGUAUGGGGUAUGUGUGUGUUAAGGGUUCUAGGGUAAAGAAACAGGAAGGUGAAGUCAAGAACGUUCAGCCUAAUUCCAAGAUCAAAGCUUUUGUUUCCCAUCAUAGAGUAAAUGAUCCUGAUCUUACGGAGAAACUGACUGCCAUUGACAACAAGUUGACCAUCAUCAAGGACCUUCUUGCUGCAACUCAAUCCACUGUUGGGGACAUCCAUGCGAUCUUCAAGGAGAUUGGGUCUGAUGUUUCAAAGAUGAGGGUUAAAAUUCUCAAACUUGGAGAGAAUGCAGUCAAAGCUUUCAAAGAAGUUCAUGACAGAAUUGAUGGGGUGAUAGUUUCAGCCAAAGCCAGCUUUAAACGUCUUCAUAAGGCUAUUUGCAACACUCUUACUUUUUCUUGCAUUGUUAGUUGUGGAAGUUUAAAAUAUUUUUUUGUUUUUUUGUUGUUUUGGACUGGAUAACCAGUCGCUGGAUACUUUUUUUUUUUCCUAACCUUUGCAUGCCUCUAAUGUUUUCUUAUGAUGUGUCUGCCUCUACUUUAUUUGCUAUGUAUGUAUAUCCGCUUUUUGCUGAUAUCAAAAAGGGGGAGAAAGAAGUUAUACAUUGCAGGACUGUAGGCAACUUCUGUUGAGGUGGAGUCGGUGUUGAGGGGGAGUCGACUGGAGUAUAUGCGUCACCUGUUGAGGGAGAGUCGACUAACUAUGCAACAAUUAUUAAUGGGGAGUUGACUACAUGGAAAUCAACUGUUAUUUAUAUAUAUUAUUUUUAUCAUCAUCAAAAAAGGGGGUAAUUGUUAAUUAUAGGUUUCAAUGAUGAAAAAUAAUAUAUCACAUUUGGUGCAGGAUCAAGAAGGAAACCAAAGGAAUCAAGAAGAAAUACUAGCCAAGAAUAGAUUAAGAAAACAAUCUAUUAACGGGAGCUCUAAGAGCAACACAAGGGAAAAAAAUCAAUGAUUACGAUGAAAAAGGAAAGAGCAGCGAAGAUCCAGAAGAAUAAUCAAUUAGUGAUUCUAUAAAAAUAUUGACAUAAGUAUUACUGGAAGGUCCCAAAUCAAAGGGAAACAUGAUCACAAAAGGAUGCAUUAAAGAUCAUUGAAGCCAGAAAUAAGGGAUCUAGCGGAAAUGCCUCAAGUAACGAAGAGAUAUGCCUAGCAGAUGAAAAGUUCGCCAAGACCAUAAAUCAAGGAAGAUCAACG